GACAGAGGAGCCAAGCGUUGUCCGGAUUGACUGGGCGUAAAGCGCACGCAGGCGGUCGCGCGCGUGGGGUGUGAAAUCUGGCCGCUUAACGGCCAGGCGCCAUCCCAUACGGCGCGACUGGAGUGAUGCAGAGGUCGAUGGAAUUGCCGGUGUAGUGGUGAAAUGCGUAGAGAUCGGGAGGAACACCUGUGGCGAAGGCGGCCGACUGGGCCGACCCUGACGCUGAGGCGCGAAGGCGUGGGGAGCGAACGGG
RNAcentral lists this ribosomal RNA (253 nucleotides) under uncultured bacterium. RNAcentral's name for it is "partial 16S ribosomal RNA". It matches the Rfam family "Bacterial small subunit ribosomal RNA", at positions 524 to 776 of the family's 1533-position model. The record is from RNAcentral.